AAAUGAAUUGACGGGGACCCGCACAAGCGGUGGAGGAUGUGGUUUAAUCCGACGCAACGCGCAGAACCUUACCGAGGUUUGACAUCCCAGGAAAGCCGCCGAAAGGUGGCCGUGCCUUCGGGAGCCUGGUGACAGAUGCUGCAUGGCCGUCGUCAGCUCGUGUCGUGAGAUGUUGGGUUAAGUCCCGCAACGAGCGCAACCCUUGUCGUAUGUUGUUUUUUCAUACGAGACUGCCCGGGCCAACCGGGAGGAAGGUGGGGAUGACGUCUGGUCGGCAUGGCUCUUACACCUCGGGCCACACACGUCCUACAAUGGGUAGUACAAUGGGCAGCCAAAUCGUAAGAUGGAGCAAAUCCCACCAAAACUACCCCCAGUUCGGAUUGAGGGCUGAAACUCGCCCUCAUGAAGUUGGAAUCGCUAGUAAUGGCAGGUCAGCACACUGCCGUGAAUACGUUCCCGGGUCUUGUACACACCGCCCGU
RNAcentral lists this ribosomal RNA (480 nucleotides) under uncultured bacterium. Its description in RNAcentral is "bacterial SSU rRNA". It matches the Rfam family "Bacterial small subunit ribosomal RNA", at positions 903 to 1397 of the family's 1533-position model. The record is from RNAcentral.